RNAcentral lists this ribosomal RNA (449 nucleotides) under uncultured bacterium. RNAcentral's name for it is "partial 16S ribosomal RNA". It matches the Rfam family "Bacterial small subunit ribosomal RNA", at positions 354 to 796 of the family's 1533-position model. The record is from RNAcentral.
GUGGGGAAUAUUGGACAAUGGGCGAAAGCCUGAUCCAGCCAUGCCGCGUGUGUGAAGAAGGUCUUCGGAUUGUAAAGCACUUUAAGUUGGGAGGAAGGGUAGUAACCUAAUACGUUGCUACUUUGACGUUACCAACAGAAUAAGCACCGGCUAACUUCGUGCCAGCAGCCGCGGUAAUACGAAGGGUGCAAGCGUUAAUCGGAAUUACUGGGCGUAAAGCGCGCGUAGGUGGUUUUGUAAGUUGGAGGUGAAAUCUCCGGGCUCAACCUGGGAACUGCCUACAAAACUGCAUGACUAGAGUACGGUAGAGGGUAGUGGAAUUUCCUGUGUAGCGGUGAAAUGCGUAGAUAUAGGAAGGAACACCAGUGGCGAAGGCGACUACCUGGACUGAUACUGACACUGAGGUGCGAAAGCGUGGGGAGCAAACAGGAUUAGAAACCCCUUAGUCC